Molecule: long non-coding RNA, 3987 nt
Organism: Lytechinus pictus (painted urchin)
Lineage: Eukaryota; Metazoa; Echinodermata; Echinoidea; Temnopleuroida; Toxopneustidae
Exons: 2
Source: RefSeq, a predicted model, not a curated record
UCAUUUAAGGUCAAUGAACUUUGGCCAAAUUGAGGGUAUCUGUUGAAUUACCAUCAUAACUUUGAGAGUUUAUGGAUCUGAUUCAUGAAACUUGGACAUAAGAGUACCUAUCACUGAACAUCCUUUGCGAGUUUCAGGUCACAUAAUCAAGCUCAAAGGUCAUUUAAGGUCAAUGAACUUUGGCCAAGUUGCGGGUAUUUGUUGAAUUACCAUCAUAACUUUGAAAGUUUAUUGGUCUAGUUCAUACAACUUGGACAUAAGAGUAAUCAAGUAUCACUGAACAUCCUGUGCGAAUUUCAGGUCACAUGACAAAGGUCAAUGAACUUUGUCCAUUUUGGGGGGUAUCUGUUGAAUUACCAUCAUAACUUAGAAAGUUUAUGGACCUGAUUCAUGAAACUUGGACAGAAGAGUAAUCAAGUAUCACUGAACAUCCUGUGCCAGUUUCAGUUCACAUGACCAAGGUCAAAGGUCAUUUAAGGUCAAUGAACUUUGGCCAUGUUGGGGGUAUUUGUUGAAUCACCAUAACUCUGUAAGUGUAUUGGUCUAGUUCAUAAAACUUGGACAUAAGAGUAAUCAAGUAUCAUUGAACAUCUCUUGCGAGUUUCAGGUCACAUGACCAAAGUCAAAGGUCAUUGAACUUUGGCCAUUUUGGAGGUAAUUAUUAGAUUGCUGUCAUAACUUUCAAAGCCUACAGAUAUAGUUUAUAAAAUGUGGAUAUAUGGGUAAUCAAGUAUCACUGACAAGUCUUAGGUCGCAAGAUCAAGGUCCAAUGUCAUUUAUUGUCAAUGAACGUAGUAUUGUAUCAUUAUAUGAAUGGUGUUUUUUGUGAAUCAUUAUUUUAUAGUAGUUUUCAAAGUCAGCACUGCUGCUAUAUUGAAUCGCGUGAUGCAGGUGAGACUGCCAGAGGCGCUCCACUUGUUAUGAAUUGUAUUCCGAAAACUAUGGCAUGCAUAUUCACUUUUUCAAUUGUUUGUAAGAAAUAAAUCAUGAUUAUUUCUUGUGGUUGAUGUGAAAUUGACAAAGUUUGACAAGUGGCCCAACACAGAAACCAAAGAUGUGUGGUGUCUGUAGGAUAACCCAGUUCUGAUUCCAAGAAUUGAAAUUAUAUCGGAACUAUAUCACUUUCAUAAUACUGGCUCUUGUUAUGGUAUGCCUAUAAAAACUUUAUUUAUGUUGAAUUUUGAUGUAACAAUUAUAUACAGAACUUUUCAUUGUGUAGAAUUUGAAAAUGUCUUUUUGAUGUAGACAGAUUGCACCGUUCAGAUGUUGUAUUAGAAUGAAAUUUGUUUCCUGAUUAGUUAGAAAUUGUUUUUUAUUAAGAUUCCAAACAAACAGGAAUGUGAGAAAGGAUAAAUAGUCAGAAUUCAUCCUGCCAUUUUAUAGAUUGUUCAUGUGUAUCAUAGAUCUAUUUUGGUUCAGACUUGUAAAAUAUUAAGCAUGUAUAUUCAAAUGUGCUGUAUUUAAUGUUUGCUAUGUACAUGUACAUACUGUAUUUAGAAAUCCCUAUUUUUCUGCAGUUUUAUGUAGAGUGUAUGAUCCAGAUAAAAUGUUGGGGAUUUUUUUUUUGUAAUAUGAGGCUUGAACAUUUACCAGCGGGAAGAAAGAUGACCUACACAUGUAUUUAUCCUGAUUAUUUUUUUUAUUAUUUUUUUUAUAGAUAUUACUAUAUUACUAUUACUUUAUCCCUCUCUGUAUAUGUUGAUUGAUAUAAUAUUAUAUUGUUAUUUUGUUGAGUAUUUGAUGCAUCCAUACUCAUUCAAAUGUAAUUUUUGAUUAAUUUUGCAAAAAAAAUUGUAUUUAUGAUAAUUCUUAUUUUGCUUUGAACGGUGUACCUUCGACCUAAUGUGAGAAGCCCGCCUUGCGCAUGCGCCUUGCCACUUUCGCUACGUCUUGUGUUUUACCACAUCCAGACAUUUUGAUACGGAGUACAAAAGUUACAAAAUUUCCACAAGUUGAAACAUUCAAGAACAUAUUUCCUCACCAGAAAAUGUCACAUUUGUGAUAUUUCCUCUUUUUUCUUUGCUGAUAAUUUUUCCAAACCAGUUCUUAAUCAUUCCAUCAUGAAAAAUUUGGCAAUUUGAAUUGGCACAGCUAACAAUCCCAGCAUCACUCACUGGAAUCCCUAUUUGAUUAGACCUAUAUAAAAAAAAUUUGCAAACAUUCCAGUGAAAAUUCAUUUUCACAGAAUUUCUUCUCAAUAUCCCUCGUGUCUUUUGGAACUUAAGAAUUAUAUAUCAAAUCCCAAAUAUAUCAAACAAAGGGCAAAUUUUGGGCACAUGGUGCUAACUUCAUGCGAGUUGAAAGUAUAGGACAUGUCAUCUGGAUCCCCCCCCCCAAAAAAAAAAAAUUAUAAUAAAAAAUAAAAAAUUCAGUCCGAAUUUAUUUGAAGAAACCAUGGUCUAAACACUAAAUAGUCUAUCAAGUCAACUGAGUGCCCUUUCCAAACACAUUAGAUAAAGUAAAUUUGUAUCACAAAUCUGCAUAAAAUACCAAAUGUAUGAAUUCUGGACAUUAACUCAAGCUGUCUGUUCCAUUAUUUUCCAAUGGUACCUGUCAUGGUACAACUAUAUGCCUUUUAAUUUGUCCUCGUUUUAGUUUUCUCGGUCACUUUUUGUUAUCGUGAAAUGUUUAUAUCAUCAAAUUCAACUGAUAUUCCUUGCCAUAUGUUAACCCGAUUAUCCAGAUGAGAGUAGACCUCUACCAGUGUUGGGUUGAUUUUGAAUUAUUAUACAUUAUAAAUGGAUGUACACAUUUGUUUUAUUUAGUUGGUUGUGAUAGGCAUACUAGUAUAGCAAAUAAUACAAGCAACUCAAAUAUAUCAAAUGGGGCUGGUUGCAUAGAGUUACAAUCAAAGUACAUCAAAAGUCAAUUUCAACCUUAUUUUCAACCAGUCAGAGGCACCUAAUUGAGACUUUGGUUUUCUUUUUUUAUUUAUUUAAGUUUGAAGCAAAAUUUCCUGCAAUGGGCCAUGAUGAUGUUAGUAUUUCGACGCAGCAAUAACUGUUUAAGCAGCAAAUUUACAUAUUAUAUAACUCAGUUUCCCUAGAAAGUAAGGGCCUAUUGAAAUAUAUACUUCAUGUUAAAAUAGGUUGAUUAUGUUAGGAAACCGUUUUAUGUGGUUAAAUCUUGGUGUAUUUGGAUUAUGUUUAAAAUUUCCACUCAAUUUUGUGUUAUAAGUAUAUUAUUUUUAUUGUGCAUAAUUAUGGUAUUGUUUAAUGGUUAUUUAUUUUAUGUUUUUAUUUAUUUUUUCAUCAAUAAAUCGUGAUGAGAAACAUUAUUGUCAUGGCAAAGUAUGACAAGUGCAUACAGGACAGAAUCAUUUUCAUAAAAAAUUGUAUGAUGUUUGAAAGAAAGAUGAUCUUGUAUUGAAUCUCAAAUAUUGAUUUAUAUUAUUUCAAACACAAAUGAUAAAUUCAAUCACAAAACUAUCAAGAUCAAUCAACUCAUUAAAAAAUAAUGAACCACCUGUAGAUCAAGUAAUAUUGAUCAUGAAAGAAUAUUGAAAUUGGCAUUCAAAUAGAGCUGUUUUACCAUGCUCUUCCCAAAGUUACUAGUGAUUUUAAAAAUGAAUGGAAUAUGAUUCCAAACAGGACACCCAACGUGUUACUGAUGUAUAACGAUUUGAUUCUGUUUCAAGCUUAUUGAUAUUGUCUCAAUUUUAACGUAAACAAUUUACAGAGACAAAAUAUCCCUCUGGCUUUGAUAUUCAAGUCACUGUUAAAGUUGUGCAUAAGUUUAUAAACAUUUUGUGAAAAACCUCCCAGCAUUCAUGAUCAAUAACCUAUUGAAGAAGUCAAUAUUGAUAGUGACAAUGUCUUUCAUUUGUCAUACUUUGUAGAUCCAUGGCUGAUGUAGAUCAUGUAUGGAAUAGUUUUGGACAUUUUUUUUUUUUGCUUGUCAUUUUUAUUUGUAUUUUAUAUACUCAAUUCUUAUUAUUUGGUUUCAUGUGUUCAUAUUGUUAAUAAAUAUAGAUAUGAAAAUAUAUAA